RNAcentral lists this long non-coding RNA (1869 nucleotides) under Ananas comosus (pineapple). Its description in RNAcentral is "long non-coding RNA (ACOM_LNC025792)". The record is from RNAcentral. Lineage: Eukaryota; Viridiplantae; Streptophyta; Magnoliopsida; Poales; Bromeliaceae.
AACUUUUGGAUUAAAUGUUAUUCCACCUACCACCACUCAACCCAAGUGGGCUACUAUCGUUGUAGCCCUAGAACUCCUUCAUCUAAGGUCUACAAAUUUAAAAGCACCAACUCUUUGGUGCUUUGUUUUUAAUAUUAGAGCCUCCGAAUUGACGAUCCAUACCAUUAAAAUAAUUUAAAGUUUGUUUAAAAUAUCUAAAAAUCAUAUUUUGUUAUUAUUUUCGAACUUAUAAGAAAGCCAAUCAAAUGGUAUAAAAUAAAUAGUCAAAAUUUUAACGAUCUUCUAAAAUAAGGUGAUAGGGUUCUUAAAUUCAAGAUCAAAAUUAAUUUUUUUUUUAGAGAUAGGUAGCACGCUAGCCGCUUCGUUUAUUUCAUUUAGAAAUAAACUUAGCUAGAAAUGUGAAUCAACUAGGAUUCGAACUUGGGUCUCAGGUACCAACCACCAAGCCUUUUGCCACUUGCUCUAAGGACGAUCGGUUCAAGAUCAGAAUUAUUGAUCUUAAUCUAUGUAAUGAAUAGAAUUUUCUAUCAAAAAAUUUAACUGAUUUUGAUUCUUCCACAUUUUUAACUAGGAAAUGCGCCAUAUUAUCAUUAAAAAUAUUAACUUUGACGCCCUUUAAUCGUUAUUAAUUUUGAGACCAUUUGAUCGUGAGGUAUAUAAUGUCAAAAAUUAUGAAAUUUGAUUUUCUAGAUGUUUAAAUGCUCAAAAGUAUAUAUAUAUAUAGAGAGAGAGAGAGUCCGGCUACUAUACUCUUAUGAGCACGAUCGCCUUCGUACUCAUAAGUCGNUAUAUAUAUAUAUAUAUAUAGUCCAGCUACUAUACUCUUAUGAGCACGGUCGCCUUCGUACUCAUAAGUCGUUUUCGAUGAUAAAGCUUCUGAAUCGACGAUCCAUACCGUUAAACAUUUUCUAGAGCAUUUAAAAUUUUUAGAAAUUAAAUUUUAUAAUUUUUUGAUAUCAUUUACCUUACGAUCAAUAGCUCACAAAAUUGAUAAUUUUUAACGGCCUAUAUGUGAUACUUGCUAGUUUAACGGUGUAAAAGAAUCGGAAUAGCUUGAAUUUUUGAUAAAAAAUUCUAUUCAUUACCUAGAUAAAGAUCAAUAACCCCGAUCUUAAAUUGAAGGAUCCAAUCAUUCAUUUUUAGGACGUCGUUCGACUUUGACCGUUCAUUUUAUAUCCGCUUGAUGAACUUUAUAAUGAUUUCGAAAAGUUACGAAAUUUAUUUUCUAGAAAUUUCAAAUACUCUAAAUCAUGUUUAACGGUGUGGAUCGUCGAUUCAGAAGCACGAACAUCGAAAACAACUUAUGAGUACGAAGGGCUCUAUACUCAUAAGAGGAGUUGAGCUAGAAUACUAUCGGUAGCAAACAGGCUCCGUUGCCACCCAUUUGUUUUCGAUGAUGGAGCCUCCAAAUUGGCGAUCGGCAUCAUUGAACAUGAUCUAUACCACUUGAAAUGUUUAGAAAUUAAAUUUCAUACAUUUUCGAUGUUAUUCUCUUAUCUAUCGAAUGGACACAAAAAUGAACGGUUGAAAAUAAAUAUUCUUUAAAAAUGAUGAUAGAAGUCUUGUAGUCAAAAUCAAGAGUAUAGAUCUUAUUUUAAAUAGCUUAAAGAAUUUUCUAACAAAAAUUCAAUUGAUUUGGAUAUCUUUACGCCGUUAAACAAGAAAACACCUCAUAUCGACCAUUAAAAUUAUAAAGUUUGAAACCCUUUGAUCAUUAGGCAAAUGAUGUCGAAAAGAUUUCAAAUUUAAUUUCUAAGCACUUCAAGUAGUAUAGAUCAUGUUCAACGGUGCCUAUCGUUGAUUUGAAGGCUCUAUCAUCGAAAACAAAUGGAUGGUAACAGAGUCCGUUUGCUAUCGAUAGUAUUCUAG